Long non-coding RNA from Megalobrama amblycephala (Wuchang bream), 2536 nucleotides. RefSeq lists it as uncharacterized. The transcript has 5 exons. The record is from RefSeq and is a predicted model, not a curated record. Lineage: Eukaryota; Metazoa; Chordata; Actinopteri; Cypriniformes; Xenocyprididae.
CUACGUUGGUCCAAAGUGCAAAACGUAGAGGGGUUACAAUAAUGGCCCUUAAAUUGUAUGACUGUUACAAUUUUUUUUGCCUAUUGUUUUGCGUCCAAGUCACGUGACUUUAGAGAGCCCGGCCGUGAGAACAAAAAACAUGGCGGACGUUUCUCUACUUUUUAGUGAAAAAAACAAUAUUUUGAGUUAGUUUCUGCAUAAAAAUAAGGUUUGAUUACAUUUUUAGCGAGAAAUAUAUAUUCUAUUUUCAUAAUAUUCACUCAGUGAAUGUACAUAAUCACUCGCUUGCGCGUUGUUGCAAAGAUUUUUCUGAUCUCGCCAGAAUAAUGUGAAACUGCUACGUUUUGUUUGCUAUGAACAAUAUUUUGAGUUAGUUUCUGCAUAAAAAUAAGGUUUGAUUACAUUUUUAGCGAGAAAUAUAUAUUCUAUUUUCAUAAUAUUAGCGUCAAAAACUGACGCGAAUUUUAUUGGUAUGAAAUCACGCUGAAGAAGUCUCCUUCAGAACACAUCGCGAUAUUUGGCAUCAGUUCGCGUGUGCUGGAUGUUGCUGAAAAGACAAAAAGGGCCUUUCAGAAAUGGAUGAAGGAGACAGAAAGCUGCAAAGGCAAAUAAUUGCAAUGGUAUGUAUGUGUUGCUUUUAACCCUUUAUCAAACAUUUUAUCAAGCAUUUGUUAAAUAGUCUCACAGUAAAUUAAAAUUAAAGUCAAAUCCUGUACAUAUUUAUCACCUUAUUUGUAAAUCAGUUGUGCCCCUUCUUGGACAGUUGGACGUCCCACACAUAAAAGUUUAUAUUAAUUCCAUUGAAUUCUUUAAAAUGAUUACAGAUUGGGCCCAAAAUGUUCCAAUGAUACAUGAUGUCUCUCCGCACCUCAUAACUACCUCUGUUUGCAAGAGUGGAAAUUAUCAUUUGACUUGUCACAUGACAUCAGAUAUUCGAUUAUUUUGUCAUAAUCAAAAUAAUUGAAUAUCUGAUGUCUAUUCAAUAUCUAAUCAGUUACACUGCUGAUAAUGUCCUGCUUGCAUGUGAAACAUGUUAUUUUUUUAUUUAUUCUUUUAAAUAUAAAUAUAGCUUGCUAUUAAAGACAUAUGUUUAAUCAUGGAAAUGCCCACAUAUCAGUGAACUUAUUACAUAAAUGCAUUUAACAUUUAAUUAUGCAACACUCUUUACAGAAGGAAAUCCUACAGUUAUGUGUAAAUUGACAACUUGAAUGUGAUGUAAUAAAUUUACCUUCCUUUCUGUCUUGCAGGAUUACUUGCAGAUUACUUAGUCCUUCUUUUUAGGAUCUCUACAACGUCAAACUCAACAGCUCUUUUAAGAGCCGACCCUCACAAGAGCUACUAGUGAGUCGCUGCAAACCUGCCGUGAUCAGCCCUUUCCAGAGAAGGAAGACCAAUCCUUAUAUUAAAACAAGCUCAUCGAAGUCCUUUGUUUAGGGUGAGGAAGGAACAUGACCAUCUCAUGCCCAAAGAAGACAGAAGUCCAUUGAUAGCAAGUGAAGUCACUAACAGAAGAUCCUAGAGGAAAAACGACUGAUGUGCAGCUACGGAGGAACACAAGAGGCAGAAACUAUGCAUGGCCAUGGCUUCUUCAUGAGUAUGGUUAUCACUUGGUUUUUGACCAAAUUAUGCUCUUGAAACAAGAAACAGAAGAGUAUGUUGUCCUGAAAGAAAUCAAGGCUCAAAAGAGAGCAUGCCUUUCUAAAAGAUCUUUUAAAACAGGUUGCUGUUAAUAUGGGUAAAACAGUUUUUGUUCAGUACUUAGCUUACAGUCUGUGCUGCAUUUUUAUUAUAAUAUAUAUAUUAUGUACUGCUGUUUUGUAAAGUUAAAUCAGGAACAGGCAACUCUAGCCCUUUUGCUGUCUCCUUUUUGAGGUGGAGAGUUUACCUCCAACCAUAAUUGAGCACACCUGAAAAUUUUAUCCAAAGUCUUCAGGUGUACUUAUAGACAGUUAUAGGCAGUUGGGUUUGAGGUUGGAGCUAAAUCUGCAGGACCGUGGACGCUGAGGGCCAGAGUAGCCCACCACUGUUUAAAUCAUGCAGAACAUAAGCUGACCUGGCUGUCCAUUAAACUACUUAACUUGAAUUGUCUGUGUUUUUUUGUUUUACUUUUAGACCAGGACUGAAGAACGCCUGACAAUGGGAUGUUAAGACUUCUUCCUCUGGUUGAGAAAAAGCUACAGCACAUCAGUGAUCACAUCUUCUGGUCAUCAGUUGUACUGUAGAGUACAACUGAACAAACUGUUUAGAAGAAGAACAUGAACAUGAUAGAGACAUGUACAGGGAAGAGCAAGAACCCAGUUCAGCUGUGAUAAUGAAUCUUUAUUUUAAACUCAAUAUCAAAUCUGUUUUCUGGAUCAUAGUUGACUGGAUGGGAUUCUGUGGCGCUCAUUUGUGCAAUAGGAGUAAAGUCUGUGAAUGGAUUAUUAUGACGUUAACGUAUUUUUGAAGACACGUUUUUAUUUAUCUUGAAUCUCAUUUGUCUUUAUGCAAAUUUCAACCUUAUGCUGUAUCCUCCAAUAAAGUGUUGUGUAAUAAA